AGGUAAGCUACUAAGAGCGAAUGGUGGAUGCCUUGACUGGUAAAGGCGAUGAAGGACGUACUAGACUGCGAUAAGCUACGGGGAGCUGUCAAGAAGCUUUGAUCCGUAGAUUUCCGAAUGGGGCAACCCAAUGUAUAGAGAUAUACAUUACCUAUAUAGGAGCGAACGAGGGGAAUUGAAACAUCUUAGUACCCUCAGGAAAAGAAAUCAAUAGAGAUUGCGUCAGUAGCGGCGAGCGAAAGCGCAAGAGGGCAAACCCAGUGCUUGCACUGGGGGUUGUAGGACUGCAAUGUGCAAGAGGUAAGUUUAGCAGAACAUUCUGGAAAGUAUAGCCAUAGAGGGUGAUAGUCCCGUAUGCGAAAAACAAACCUUAGCUAGCAGUAUCCUGAGUAGGGCGGGACACGAGAAAUCCUGUCUGAAGCUGGGUCGACCACGAUCCAACCCUAAAUACUAAUACCAGAUCGAUAGUGCACAAGUACCGUGAGGGAAAGGUGAAAAGAACUGAGGUGAUCAGAGUGAAAUAGAACCUGAAACCAUUUGCUUACAAUCAUUCAGAGCACUAUGUAGCAAUACAGUGUGAUGGACUGCCUUUUGCAUAAUGAGCCUGCGAGUUGUGGUGUCUGGCAAGGUUAAGCAAACGCGAAGCCGUAGCGAAAGCGAGUCUGAAUAGGGCGCUUAGUCAGAUGCUGCAGACCCGAAACGAAGUGAUCUAUCCAUGAGCAAGUUGAAGCUAGUGUAAGAACUAGUGGAGGACUGAACCCAUAGGCGUUGAAAAGCCCCGGGAUGACUUGUGGAUAGGGGUGAAAGGCCAAUCAAACUUCGUGAUAGCUGGUUCUCUCCGAAAUAUAUUUAGGUAUAGCGUUGUGUCGUAAUAUAAGGGGGUAGAGCACUGAAUGGGCUAGGGCAUACACCAAUGUACCAAACCCUAUCAAACUCCGAAUACCUUAUAUGUAAUCACAGCAGUCAGGCGGCGAGUGAUAAAAUCCGUCGUCAAGAGGGAAACAACCCAGACUACCAGCUAAGGUCCCUAAAUCUUACUUAAGUGGAAAACGAUGUGAAGUUACUUAAACAACCAGGAGGUUGGCUUAGAAGCAGCCAUCCUUUAAAGAAAGCGUAAUAGCUCACUGGUCUAGUGAUUUUGCGCGGAAAAUAUAACGGGGCUAAAGUAAGUACCGAAGCUGUAGACUUGACUUUGUCAAGUGGUAGGAGAGCGUUCUAUUUGCGUCGAAGGUAUACCGGUAAGGAGUGCUGGAGCGAAUAGAAGUGAGCAUGCAGGCAUGAGUAGCGAUAAUUAAUGUGAGAAUCAUUAACGCCGUAAACCCAAGGUUUCCUACGCGAUGCUCGUCAUCGUAGGGUUAGUCGGGUCCUAAGUCGAGUCCGAAAGGGGUAGACGAUGGCAAAUUGGUUAAUAUUCCAAUACCAACAUUAGUGUGCGAUGGAAGGACGCUUAGGGCUAAGGGGGCUAGCGGAUGGAAGUGCUAGUCUAAGGUCGUAGGUGCUUAUACAGGCAAAUCCGUAUAAGAAUACACCGAGAACUGAAAGGCUUUUUGAAGUCUUCGGAUGGAUAGAAGAACCCCUGAUGCCGUCGAGCCAAGAAAAGUUUCUAAGUUUAGCUAAUGUUGCCCGUACCGUAAACCGACACAGGUGGGUGGGAUGAGUAUUCUAAGGCGCGUGGAAGAACUCUCUUUAAGGAACUCUGCAAAAUAGCACCGUAUCUUCGGUAUAAGGUGUGGUUCGCUUCGUAUUAGGAUUUACUCCGAAAGCGAAGAAACUUACAACAAAGAGUCCCUCCCGACUGUUUACCAAAAACACAGCACUCUGCUAACUCGUAAGAGGAUGUAUAGGGUGUGACGCCUGCCCGGUGCUCGAAGGUUAAUUGAUGGGGUUAGCGUAAGCGAAGCUCUUGAUCGAAGCCCGAGUAAACGGCGGCCGUAACUAUAACGGUCCUAAGGUAGCGAAAUUCCUUGUCGGUUAAAUACCGACCUGCAUGAAUGGCGUAACGAGAUGGGAGCUGUCUCAAAGAGGGAUCCAGUGAAAUUGUAGUGGAGGUGAAAAUUCCUCCUACCCGCGGCAAGACGGAAAGACCCCGUGGACCUUUACUACAGCUUGACACUGCUACUUGGAUAAGAAUGUGCAGGAUAGGUGGGAGGCUUUGAGUAUAUGACGCCAGUUGUAUAUGAGCCAUUGUUGAGAUACCACUCUUUCUUAUUUGGGUAGCUAACCAGCUUGAGUUAUCCUCAAGUGGGACAAUGUCUGGUGGGUAGUUUGACUGGGGCGGUCGCCUCCCAAAUAAUAACGGAGGCUUACAAAGGUUGGCUCAGAACGGUUGGAAAUCGUUCGUAGAGUAUAAAGGUAUAAGCCAGCUUAACUGCAAGACAUACAAGUCAAGCAGAGACGAAAGUCGGUCUUAGUGAUCCGGUGGUUCUGUGUGGAAGGGCCAUCGCUCAAAGGAUAAAAGGUACCCCGGGGAUAACAGGCUGAUCUCCCCCAAGAGCUCACAUCGACGGGGAGGUUUGGCACCUCGAUGUCGGCUCAUCGCAUCCUGGGGCUGGAGCAGGUCCCAAGGGUAUGGCUGUUCGCCAUUUAAAGCGGUACGCGAGCUGGGUUCAGAACGUCGUGAGACAGUUCGGUCCCUAUCUGCCGUGGGCGUAAGAAGAUUGAAGAGAUUUGACCCUAGUACGAGAGGACCGGGUUGAACAAACCACUGGUGUAGCUGUUGUUCUGCCAAGAGCAUCGCAGCGUAGCUAAGUUUGGAAAGGAUAAACGCUGAAAGCAUCUAAGCGUGAAGCCAACUCUAAGAUGAAUCUUCUCUAAGCUCUCUAGAAGACUACUAGUUUGAUAGGCUGGGUGUGUAAUGGAUGAAAGUCCUUUAGCUGACCAGUACUAAUAGAGCGUUUGGCUUAUCUUU
Molecule: ribosomal RNA, 2908 nt
Filed under: Campylobacter coli
Lineage: Bacteria; Pseudomonadati; Campylobacterota; Epsilonproteobacteria; Campylobacterales; Campylobacteraceae
Description: 23S ribosomal RNA
Rfam family: Bacterial large subunit ribosomal RNA
Source: RNAcentral